GAAAUGCGAUAAGUAGUGUGAAUUGCAGAAUUCAGUGAAUCAUCGAAUCUUUGAACGCACAUUGCGCCCCUUGGUAUUCCAUGGGGCAUGCCUGUUCGAGCGUCAUUUGUUCCCUCAAGCUCUGCUUGGUGUUGGGUGUUUGUCCCGUCUCCGCGCGUGGACUCGCCCCAAAGUGAUUGGCAGCCGGCGUACUGGUCCCGGAGCGCAGCACAUGUCGCGCAAACGAGUGCCUUGGUACGGCGGCGUCCAUAAGCCCCUCUCUCACGCUCUUGACCUCGGAUCAGGUAGGGAUACCCGCUGAACUUAAGC
RNAcentral lists this unclassified non-coding RNA (309 nucleotides) under plant metagenome. RNAcentral describes it as "partial contains 5.8S ribosomal RNA, internal transcribed spacer 2, and large subunit ribosomal RNA". The stretch from base 1 to 105 matches the Rfam family "5.8S ribosomal RNA", at positions 50 to 154 of the family's 154-position model. The record is from RNAcentral.